UGCCAGCCGCCGCGGUAAUACGGAGGGUGCAAGCGUUGUCCGGAUUCAUUGGGUUUAAAGGGUGCGCAGGCGGAUUUGUAAGUCAGUGGUGAAAUCCUACAGCUUAACUGUAGAACUGCCAUUGAUACUGCAGGUCUUGAGUACGUUCGAGGUGGUUGGAAUGAGUGGUGUAGCGGUGAAAUGCAUAGAGAUCACUCAGAACACCGAUUGCGAAGGCAGAUCACUAGAACGUUACUGACGCUGAGGCACGAAAGCGUGGGGAGCGAACAGGAUUAGAUA
RNAcentral lists this ribosomal RNA (279 nucleotides) under uncultured bacterium. Its description in RNAcentral is "partial 16S ribosomal RNA". It matches the Rfam family "Bacterial small subunit ribosomal RNA", at positions 506 to 784 of the family's 1533-position model. The record is from RNAcentral.